CGCGGGUGUCCGAUUUCCAGCAGCGCAGACAUGGCGAUGGAUUUCUCCAUCUCUCCGGUAGACAGGUCAGAAAUCCCCUUCUUGGAAAAGAAAACUUCUUCCAUUUACUAUCCAGCAUCAGAGAGAUCUUAGAGCUUUAGUUCAACGCGUGCAGGUUGCCCAUCUUCCUGGAUGAGGCGGCUAGCGUGGUGGCCCUAAUGGAUUUGAUUGGUGGCGAAGAGGAAUCCGCCAAUGGAUCUUGUGGGGCUGUUGUCGCCGGAUUUGCGCACGACUCAUCUGGGCAGUUCGUACGUGGUGUUGUGUGCAGCAAGGAGAGGACUGUAGCUACCGGUGGUGCCGCCAUGUCCGGUUUCAGUGAGAGCGAGGGUGACAAAGCAGAUGCAAUUGACCAAGCCGACGACCGAAGCACAUAUUGAUGAACACCAAGAGGCUGUGAUUUAAGAUCGAACUGAAAGUGGUGAUGGAGGGUCUGCUCAAUCUACUACUUGCAAGGUGGAUCCGCAAGCCCCUGGGUGGACUUAGAGGUAAUAGGCAUUUACUUAUAAGAGGUAAAUGGUGUGUAGCAAAACCAGAGUUGCGAUGAUGUCUUGGUUAUUGUAGUUUCAUAUGAUCCCCUGAGGCAUUGUACAUUAGAUUGGUGGGUUAGAAACACACGAUUUCGUCAUGUCAUUGCAGAGCUUGAUUAAGUUUAUACAGUACAUUUUAUGGAGUAUGCUAACUCUCCGCUGCACUGAAAUUACAGGACACCCUGUCCCAGCGGGCUCGACACACUCUCCGCUUCGCUGAAAUUACAGGACACCCUGUCCCAGCAGGCUCAACAUUCUCUGCUCCGCUCAAAUUACAGGACCGGACACUAUGUCUGGGAAGAAUUUGUGCACUGGAGCAAAUGAUUUAGGGGUAUACAGAUUAGUUGGGUGAGCACGGUGCUAUUGGGCUAACACUAGACCCUAUGUAAGAAACAUAUGGUUUUUACAAUCUUUAUUCAUGGAAGCAUGGUUUCACCAUUAGAUAUUAUGGGAAAAGUAGGCUUAAUGUCAGGAAGACAAAAUAUAUGAAGUUUUCUGCGUAUGGUUGGGAGAGGAGAGUGGUGCAGCAGUGGUGGCAGGAGGAAGAAGAUUGCUCCAUCCAUCAGUUGGCCGAGCUCCGGCGUCCUCACGUCAGGCUUGGCUUGGAGUGCUGACAAUGAAGCAUUCUACAUGGUAUGCAUCCAGAUCCGCUUCAUCUGCUAGACGCUAAAUCGAGUCAAUGGACCAAUUGGCUAGAAUUAGAAAUUAACUGUGUGUAUUUUGUGUUUGCGCCUCCGUGUAUUUUGCUGGACGCUUAAUGUGUUCAUCGCUGGGAGGAACUAUCUCUAAAUUAGUUGUUAUUAUUGCAGUGUAGUAGCCAACGUGCGUGUGGACUAAUGUUUAAUUAUGUGAGAUUACCCCAAAAUGCCUGAUGCUGUUAAGCUGCAAAAUGCACCUUCGUAGAUAGAUUGAGAACCUGACAACCAACGUUUUUCCAGCAUUUUAUUUGCCCAAGUGAUGUCUUUCCGACUUUUUUUCCUGUGUCGGUGACAAAUCUUGCCAUGUGUUGGUUGUGCGUGUAAAAAAUAAAACCUCUACCCAUGGACUCCUGUUGUGAAAUUUUAGAAGACGUCUGAUACAUUU
RNAcentral lists this long non-coding RNA (1649 nucleotides) under Triticum aestivum (bread wheat). RNAcentral's name for it is "long non-coding RNA (TAES_LNC005106)". Lineage: Eukaryota; Viridiplantae; Streptophyta; Magnoliopsida; Poales; Poaceae. The record is from RNAcentral.